AUUUACCUCGAUCGGCAGUCGAAAACUUCCCCAGUGUGGCGGCGGGUGGCGGCGGCCGGCUACUCCGGCAUCUGGUUCUUCUUCUCCGGCGAGGCACUGGCAGCUAGGGUUUUUGUGGUCAGGUGUGGGUGGGGUUAUUUAUACCCUUUGCCUUUUUAUCUCAACCGUCCAUCAAGAUUAAAUCUAGACCGUUCGAUUGCGAUUUAAUUGGGAUUAAAUCUGGGUCGUCCAUCGCGAUGCAAUCUGGGUUGUCCGUGCUUGAUUGAAUCUGGGCCGUCCAUGCGCGUGAAUCUGGGCCGUCCGUGCACAAGUUUGAUCUGGACCG
RNAcentral lists this long non-coding RNA (325 nucleotides) under Carica papaya (papaya). Its description in RNAcentral is "long non-coding RNA (CPAP_LNC002176)". The record is from RNAcentral. Lineage: Eukaryota; Viridiplantae; Streptophyta; Magnoliopsida; Brassicales; Caricaceae.